AGUGGAUGGGGAGCAACCUAGUUGUGCGUGUGUAAAGGUAGUGCCAAGAAAAGCGGUGAUCAUGAUGAAAAUCAAUUCCCGGUACCCGAAACCGACACAGGUGGGCAAGUAGAGAAUACUAAGGGGCGCGAGGUAACUCUCUCCAAGGAACUCGGCAAAAUGACCCCGUAACUUAGGGAGAAGGGGUGCCACCGAGAGGUGGUCGCAGUGAAGAGGCCCAGGCGACUGUUUAGCAAAAACAUAGGUCUCUGCAAACUCGAAAGAGAAGGUAUAGGGGCUGACGCCUGCCCAGUGCCGGAAGGUUAAAGAAGUUGGUCAGUCUUAGGAUGAAGCUAGCGACUGAAGCCCCGGUGAACGGCGGCCGUAACUAUAACGGUCCUAAGGUAGCGAAAUUCCUUGUCGGGUAAGUUCCGACCCGCACGAAAGGCGUAACGACCUGGGCGCUGUCUCGGAGAGAGGCUCGGCGAAAUAGGAUUGUCUGUGAAGAUACGGACUACCUGCAUUUGGACAGAAAGACCCUAUGAAGCUUUACUACAGCUUGGAAUUGUGUUCGGGCUUCCUGUGCGCAGGAUAGGUGGGAGGCGUAGAAGGCAUUCUUGUGGGGAUACUGGAGCCAACGGUGAGAUACCACUCUCAGGAGGCUAGAAUUCUAACUUAAUUAAGGACAGUUUCAGGUGGGUAGUUUGACUGGGGCGGUCGCCUCCAAAAAGGUAACGGAGGCGUACAAAGGUUCCCUCAGACUGGUUGGAAAUCAGUCGAAGAGUGCAAAGGCAGAAGGGAGCUUGACUGCGAGAAGUACAGUUCGAGCAGGGUGGAAACACGGUCUUAGUGAUCCGACGGUGCUGUGUGGAAGGGCCGUCGCUCAACGGAUAAAAGUUACUCUAGGAUAACAGGCUGAUCUCCCCCAAGAGUUCACAUCGACGGGGAGGUUUAGCACCUCGAUGUCGGCUCAUCGCAACCUGGGGCGGAAGUACGUCCCAAGGGUUGGGCUGUUCGCCCAUUAAAGCGGUACGUGAGCUGGGUUCAGAACGUCGUGAGACAGUUCGGUCCAUAUCCGAUGUAGGCGUGAGAAUAUUGAGAGGAGCCUUCCUUAGUACGAGAGGACCGGGAAGGACGCACCGCUGGUGUACCUGUUAUGAUGCCAAUUGUAAACGCAGGGUAGCCAAGUGUGGAGAGGAUAACCGCUGAAAGCAUCUAAGUGGGAAGCCCACCUCAAGAUGAGUAUUCUGGUGUAAGGUCACGGGAAGACGACCCGUAAAUAGGCACGAGGUGGAAGUGCAGAGAUGUAUGAAGCCGAAGUGUACUAAUAGACCGUAGGCUUGAUC
RNAcentral lists this ribosomal RNA (1325 nucleotides) under metagenome. Its description in RNAcentral is "bacterial LSU rRNA". It matches the Rfam family "Bacterial large subunit ribosomal RNA", at positions 1561 to 2925 of the family's 2925-position model. The record is from RNAcentral.